Molecule: long non-coding RNA, 958 nt
Organism: Clupea harengus (Atlantic herring)
Lineage: Eukaryota; Metazoa; Chordata; Actinopteri; Clupeiformes; Clupeidae
Source: Ensembl
AGACAGAGACAGAGACAGAGACAGAGACAGAGGCAGAGACAGAGGCAGAGACAGAGACACACAGAGACAGAGACAGAGACAGAGACAGAGACAGAGACAGAGACAGAGACAGAGGCAGAGACAGAGGCAGAGACAGAGACAGAGACAGAGGCAGAGACAGAGACAGAGACACACAGAGGCAGAGACAGAGACAGAGACACACAGAGGCAGAGACAGAGACAGAGACACACAGAGGCAGAGGCAGAGGCAGAGGCAGAGGCAGAGGCAGAGGCAGAGGCAGAGACAGAGACACACAGAGGCAGAGGCAGAGACAGAGACACGCAGAGGCAGAGACAGAGACACACAGAGACACACAGAGACACACAGAGACAGAGACAGAGACAGAGACAGAGGCAGAGGCAGAGACAGAGGCAGAGGCAGAGACAGAGACACACAGAGACAGAGACAGAGACAGAGACAGAGACAGAGACAGAGACAGAGGCAGAGGCAGAGGCAGAGACAGAGACAGAGACAGAGACAGAGACAGAGACAGAGACAGAGACAGAGGCAGAGGCAGAGGCAGAGGCAGAGACACACAGAGACAGAGACAGAGACAGAGACACACAGAGACAGAGACAGAGGCAGAGACAGAGGCAGAGGCAGAGGCAGAGGCAGAGGCAGAGACAGAGGCAGAGACAGAGGCAGAGACACACAGAGGCAGAGCGCUGCUGCUGCUGUUGGGGUGGGUUGACCUGUCUGUCUGUCUGUCUGUCUGUCUGUCUGUGGAGAUGAUGUGUGGACCUGUCUGUCUGUCUGUCUGUCUGUCUGUCUGUCUGCCUGUAGAGAUGAUGUGUGGACCUGUCUGUCUGUCUGUCUGUCUGUCUGUCUGCCUGUAGAGAUGAUGUGUGGACCUGUCUGUCUGUCUGUCUGUCUGUCUGUCUGUCUGUCUGUGGAGAUGAUGUGUGGACCUGUCUGUCUG